GAUGAACGCUGGCGGCGUGCCUAAUACAUGCAAGUCGAGCGAACGGAUAAGGAGCUUGCUCCUUUGAAGUUAGCGGCGGACGGGUGAGUAACACGUGGGUAACCUACCUAUAAGACUGGAAUAACUUCGGGAAACCGGAGCUAAUGCCGGAUAACAUUUGGAACUGCAUGGUUCUAAAGUAAAAGAUGGUUUUGCUAUCACUUAUAGAUGGACCCGCGCCGUAUUAGCUAGUUGGUAAGGUAACGGCUUACCAAGGCAACGAUACGUAGCCGACCUGAGAGGGUGAUCGGCCACCCUGGAACUGCGACACGGGCCAGACUCGUACGGGAGGCAGCAGUAGGGAAUCUUCCGCAAUGGACGAAACUCUGUCGGAGCAAGGGCCCGUGAAUGAUGUAGAUUUUCGGAUCGUAAAACUCUGUUAUUAGGGAAGAUAAAAGGUGUAAUUAGCUGUGCACAUCUUGACGGUACCUAAUCAGAAACCCGCGGCUGCCUACGUGCCAGCCGCCGCCGUAA
This 513-nucleotide ribosomal RNA is filed under the name uncultured bacterium. RNAcentral describes it as "partial 16S ribosomal RNA". It matches the Rfam family "Bacterial small subunit ribosomal RNA", at positions 28 to 523 of the family's 1533-position model. The record is from RNAcentral.